RNAcentral lists this ribosomal RNA (314 nucleotides) under uncultured bacterium. RNAcentral describes it as "bacterial SSU rRNA". It matches the Rfam family "Bacterial small subunit ribosomal RNA", at positions 29 to 334 of the family's 1533-position model. The record is from RNAcentral.
AACGAACGCUGGCGGCGCGUCUUAAGCAUGCAAGUCGAACGGCAAGAUUGGUGCUUGCACCGAUCCUAGAGUGGCGGACUGGUGAGUAACGCGUGGGUGACGUACCCUAAGGAUGGGGAUAGCUGGUAGAAAUAUCAGAUAAUACCGAAUAUCCUUAUUGUUGUUGGAGGACAGUAAGGGAAGGAGCUUUGGCUUCGCCUAAGGAUCGGCCCGCGUACUAUUAGCUAGCUGGUGAGGUAGCGGCUCACCAAGGCGACGAUAGUUAUCCGGCCUAAGAGGGUGAACGGACACAUUGGGACUGAGAUACGGCCCAG